AUGAACGCUGGCGGCGCGCCUAACACCUGCAAGUCGAACGAUUAAAGCCCCUUCGGGUGUGUAUAAAGUGGCGAACGGCUGAGUAACACGUGGGCAACCUGCCCCUUUCAUUGGGAUAGCCACGGGAAACCGUGGAAAAUACCGAAUACUUCGAGACUUCCGCAUGGAAGACUCGAGAAAGCUCCGGCGGAGAGGGAUGGGCCCGCGGCCUGUUAGCUUGUUCGUGGGGUAACGGCCUACCAAGGCAAUGGUGGGUAGCUGAGUUGAGAGACCGACCAGCCAGGUUGGGGCUGACACACGGCGCAGCCUCCGACGAGGGGCAGCGGUAGGGAAUCUUGCACAAUGGGCGACAGCCUGAUGCAGCGACGCCGCGUGCGGGAAAAAGGCCUUCUGGUGAUAAUCCGCUGUCAGCAGGGACGAGCCGAAAGUGACGGUACCUGCAGAAGAAGCCCUGGCUAACUACGUG
RNAcentral lists this ribosomal RNA (466 nucleotides) under uncultured bacterium. Its description in RNAcentral is "partial 16S ribosomal RNA". It matches the Rfam family "Bacterial small subunit ribosomal RNA", at positions 29 to 507 of the family's 1533-position model. The record is from RNAcentral.